AACCAGUACCGUGAGGGAAAGGCGAAAAGAACCCCGGCGAGGGGAGUGAAAAAGAACCUGAAACCGUGUACGUACAAGCAGUGGGAGCACCUUCGGGUGUGACUGCGUACCUUUUGUAUAAUGGGUCAGCGACUUAUAUUCUGUAGCAAGGUUAACCGUAUAGGGGAGCCGCAGGGAAACCGAGUCUUAACUGGGCGUUAAGUUGCAGGGUAUAGACCCGAAACCCGGUGAUCUAGCCAUGGGCAGGUUGAAGGUUGGGUAACACUAACUGGAGGACCGAACCGACUAAUGUUGAAAAAUUAGCGGAUGACUUGUGGCUGGGGGUGAAAGGCCAAUCAAACCGGGAGAUAGCUGGUUCUCCCCGAAAGCUAUUUAGGUAGCGCCUCGUGAAUUCAUCUUCGGGGGUAGAGCACUGUUUCGGCUAGGGGGUCAUCCCGACUUACCAACCCGAUGCAAACUACGAAUACCGAAGAAUGUUAUCACGGGAGACACACGGCGGGUGCUAACGUCCGUCGUGAAGAGGGAAACAACCCAGACCGCCAGCUAAGGUCCCAAAGUCAUGGUUAAGUGGGAAACGAUGUGGGAAGGCACAGACAGCCAGGAUGUUGGCUUAGAAGCAGCCAUCAUUUAAAGAAAGCGUAAUAGCUCACUGGUCGAGUCGGCCUGCGCGGAAGAUGUAACGGGGCUAAACCAUGCACCGAAGCUGCGGCAGCGACACUAUGUGUUGUUGGGUAGGGGAGCGUUCUGUAAGCCUGCGAAGGUGACCUGUGAGGGUUGCUGGAGGUAUCAGAAGUGCGAAUGCUGACAUAAGUAACGAUAAAGCGGGUGAAAAGCCCGCUCGCCGGAAGACCAAGGGUUCCUGUCCAACGUUAAUCGGGGCAGGGUGAGUCGACCCCUAAGGCGAGGCCGAAAGGCGUAGUCGAUGGGAAACAGGUUAAUAUUCCUGUACUUGGUGUUACUGCGAAGGGGGGACGGAGAAGGCUAUGUUAGCCGGGCGACGGUUGUCCCGGUUUAAGCAUGUAGGCUGGUU
RNAcentral lists this ribosomal RNA (1030 nucleotides) under Klebsiella pneumoniae. RNAcentral describes it as "partial 23S ribosomal RNA". It matches the Rfam family "Bacterial large subunit ribosomal RNA", at positions 493 to 1530 of the family's 2925-position model. RNAcentral also lists the same sequence under 1 other name. Lineage: Bacteria; Pseudomonadati; Pseudomonadota; Gammaproteobacteria; Enterobacterales; Enterobacteriaceae. The record is from RNAcentral.